CACGAGCAGCUGCACUCACUGAAUUUGAUCAUUCUUGCUAGCUUUAGAGCACGUGUGCUUCUACUAGACCUCCAAAAUGUUUACAGUAAGGCCGCAGUGUAUCUUAUAGCUCAGUUAUUGGCUGUCUGUUCAGCUACGUGCUUGCAAACCACCACUAGAACUACUAGAGGUGUGAGUAACCAGCAGCCAAGUAAGAAUGAUAUAGAAGCCCUAUGGCAAUGAAAGGCUGAACCACAGCCAUCCCACUCACCUCCUUUGCAGGCUUCCCAUGAAAACAGCUUGGUGAUGGGAAAACUUUAACUAUUUUGCUGCACUUCUGUUUCUGUGUGGGAAAAGAACCAUACUUGUCGUGAUCUUCUAGAAGGUAGAGUGGUGGCUUCAGGCUGGACAGGCACCUGCUGUGUGCUUUGUUCAUGAGCUCCUGCAGAGCUGGUGUUGUCUUUAGGGCAUGCAGAACUGCAACUCUGUAAUGCAGAAGCUGGGCUGCACUCAGUGCGGGCUGGUUAUUAGAUGAAACAGAAGAGCUGUGCUUACAGGGUGAGAAAGCUACUCCUCGCUGCUUCCUCAUAGUCCUAAUGCUCAAAGCAGCCUGUUCUCAUCUUUCUGUGGGCUGGAAUCCCACACUUUGCAGCCUUGCCUCUAGUUUCUUGGAGGGAAAAUUCCUACAUGCACAACUAACCUUUUGACCCCUGUAAUUGGAAAACAUGGAUGGAAUACCACUCUGGCACAGGAGUCUAGGCUAAGACUGCAAUAAUAUUAUUGUUAAAUUGCAAAUUUUGUGCUUCAGUGUACAAACGUCUGGAAGAAGUUCCCUCCCACCCUGGAAUCAGAACUAGCUCUGCUAUUACUCAAGUCUAAACAUGAUAAAUUAAGGCCAGAAAGUAGUUUUGACUGUGCAAGCAGUGUGGGUGGACCAGCAAGGAUCAUAAAACCUACUGGUUUUAAGACUGACUUUAUGAUAAAGGUCUGAAUGCAGCAGUCAGGCUGCCAGCAAAAUCUGCCUGCAAUCACUGACAGUUCCUGGCAGUGAAAGGUAGGAACUCUUAUCGCAAAGCUGGUGGACCUGAGCAGCAAGGUAAAUUCUAAUGAGGUCUUUUAAGGAAGCUUGAAUUUUUUAAACUCACUUCACAGAAUUUUCUGGUUUUAAACACCCCAGGAAAAGACGGAUUGUUUCUAGGUUUGCAAAAACCACACACUGCAGUGCUGAGGGAAUUUAGCAUCCAAAGCCAAGUGCAUGGUCUUCUGCUCACAAGCAGCCAGUUACAGUACACAGAUAAUGACCACAGCAAAGCCCAUCGCUGAAGGGGUGCUGCAGUCUCAGUUACUGAAUGCAGGCUUUAAUUUCUGCAUCAGGUCAGAGACAUUAUCAUCUUCCAGCUGCAGUUUUCACAGAGAGGAAAAAAAAGAAAAGGAACAUCACCUGUCAACUCUUAUACCCAGAAGUGACUCAGUUGCUGUAAUAGGAUAAAGUGUGAGAUUCAUACUUAUUUAAACAUACUGAACUCUACCUUAGUAGUAUGCAUUCCUUUUAUUUAAAAAGUUGUUCUAGUAGUGCAUGUUGCACCUAUACAAAAGUAUUUUUACACUGUCCACACACAGGUAUAUAAGGGCUCCAACAGCUGCCACAAUUCUCAGCUAGAUUGUGUGCUAAUGCAGCAUUCUUGGUACGUGGCCUCUAGGCUGAGGGGAUGGGGCAGAAGUCAGCAGUACUGGGAACUCUUGGCAAGUGGAAUGUGUGUCCCCUGAGGGACAGUAAGACCCCUGCCAAUCCUAGAUCCAUCUGGGGAGAGGAGUGGGGACAAAGUCUGUAGGAAGAGCACCAGUGUCACAAGAGGAAGUUUACCAGGCUGGAGCAGUGUUGGCCAAGCGUCUCAUACGCCUUGUAUUUCUGUCCUGGUCUCUGAUCUUCUUCUCCAUCUCCGCAUCUGUGAGGGUUUCCAGAAGAGGGCACCACUGGUCGGCAUCCCCCGUGUUGCGAAUCGCGAUUUCCACAGUCGGCAAAGGGUUCUCACUGAAGGCGUAUGUCUUCUGAUGCCAGCUCAGCUGUCCCCGGAUGCUGUAGGCAAUAGUAGUGACAAACUCCCCACCCAGGCCAAG
Molecule: long non-coding RNA, 2097 nt
Filed under: Gallus gallus (chicken)
Lineage: Eukaryota; Metazoa; Chordata; Aves; Galliformes; Phasianidae
Source: RNAcentral